UACGGGGGGGGCAAGCGUUGUUCGGAAUUACUGGGCGUAAAGGGUUUGUAGGUGGCUUGCUAAGUCACACGUGAAAUCCCUCAGCUUAACUGGGGAACUGCGUGUGAAACUGGCGAGCUUGAGGACAGGAGAGGAACGCGGAAUUCCCGGUGUAGUGGUGAAAUGCGUAGAUAUCGGGAGGAACACCAGUGGCGAAGGCGACUUCCUGGCCAGUUCUUGACGCUGAGGCGCGAAAGCGAGGGGAGCAAACGGG
This 253-nucleotide ribosomal RNA is filed under the name uncultured bacterium. RNAcentral describes it as "partial 16S ribosomal RNA". It matches the Rfam family "Bacterial small subunit ribosomal RNA", at positions 524 to 776 of the family's 1533-position model. The record is from RNAcentral.